This 247-nucleotide ribosomal RNA is filed under the name uncultured bacterium. RNAcentral's name for it is "partial 16S ribosomal RNA". It matches the Rfam family "Bacterial small subunit ribosomal RNA", at positions 86 to 334 of the family's 1533-position model. The record is from RNAcentral.
AGAUGGCGACCGGCGCACGGGUGAGUAACACGUAUCCAACCUGCCGAUAACUCGGGGAUAGCCUUUCGAAAGAAAGAUUAAUACCCGAUGGUAUAAUCAGACCGCAUGGUUUGAUUAUUAAAGAAUUUCGGUUAUCGAUAGGGAUGCGUUCCAUUAGGCAGUUGGUGAGGUAACGGCUCACCAAACCUUCGAUGGAUAGGGGUUCUGAGAGGAAGGUCCCCCACAUUGGAACUGAGACACGGUCCAA